Long non-coding RNA from Triticum dicoccoides, 2474 nucleotides. RefSeq lists it as uncharacterized. Lineage: Eukaryota; Viridiplantae; Streptophyta; Magnoliopsida; Poales; Poaceae. The record is from RefSeq and is a predicted model, not a curated record. The transcript is spliced from 9 exons.
CGGUGGCGGUCGGUACAUCGUUAAUCCCUUCUCUACCUGAGCUUUUCAUUUGAUGUUGUAUGACAGGUGGGGCUGGUUUGGUCAUGGGGCCAAGAAACGAGGUGGUUUUUCGAUGCAUUUGGGUGCGCGUGUUUCUACCGAGACACGGAUUAACCUAGACGCGAUUCCUCCGCGGUGAAAAAGGCCACCCAUCUCCUCCCGAUUCCCAGCCGCCGCCGCCGCCGCAUCCUCUCUCCUCCCCUGACGUCUCCUUUUUCCCCUCCUCUCCUCGCAACGGCCUCCUCCUUCCUGCACCGCCUCUUCCUCUCUUCCUUGCUGAUGGCGCCACCCGCCGGUCGAUGCCUCCUGUCUUGCCCUUUCCAUGGGGAGGUGGAGAUGGGAAGAUGGCGUUGGAGGAGGAAAACGAGAUCCAGGCAGUGGAAAGAUGGCGUUGGAGGAGGAAAACGAGAUCCAGGCAGUGGAAAGAUGGCGUUGGAGGAGGGAGCACGGGUGGGCGCCGCAGCUGAAGCACGGGUGGCCUGGUUGUGGCGGAGCAUGGCGGGAUUCCGGGCGGCGUCGUGGUCGUGGUCAAGAGCAGAAGCACGGGUGGCCGCCGUAGCUGAGCUUCUAUGUAACAUAGUUCCGAUGAAUCCUCUGCCGCAUCUGGCCUCUGCAGAUUCGUUUUUGUAUCUACCUAUAAGGCGUUCGAUGAAAAUCCAAGCUGCUGCAGUGGCAGAUUACGCCGUCCUCUUGCAUGCUGAGCCAUGUUGGGCUCUCCUGUUCUUUUUUGUUGGCUUGACGUACGCACUGGCAACCUCUUAUGUGAGGGAUUCAGCAUGCCUCUAUUUGAGAGAAAAGAUAUGGAGAAGCGGAUUUUCAGGUAUGCUCUAUGGUUUGGAGCAAUGCCACUUUGAUUUGGUUCACAUUUUCUUUAUAGGUUGAUGUUGUCUGUUGAGUAUAUGAGGUUGCCGCUGCUCCAUGUUAAGUACCAGCCAGAACUGCCAUUAUAUAUUUAUUAAGCUAGGAGGCUGCACCGGUCAUGAAUUUAAAUAGGCUUGCUACCACUUUAUUUUGGUCAACAUUUUUGGCCCUGAACAUGUUAUGUUUCGAUUUAUGAGGUUAAAGCACACUACUGCUUGCAUAAACAGCAACCUGUUGAAAGUAUUGUUGGGUCACUUGUAGGCUUCUAGCUAUUUUGAUUUUAUGAUAUACAACACUUUCAGAUCAGUAAAUACAAUGACCUCCCUUUUACAUUAAACAAUCGUGAUUGUUCUCGUACCAUUUGGUAUUUUCACCAAGUUCAGGGAAAGAAAAGUUUCCCUAGACAGGUGGCGGCGGCGGUCAAGACAAGAGCGGCGUUGUGAGCGACGGCCCUUGAUCGUCUUCCUUGUGGAAUCAGGUACACGUCGUCCAUCGUGGCCCAUCGUGGGUGUUGGCGGGCGACCGGAGGCGGCUACAGCAGGCCAGUGUCCGUGAUCAUGACUGACACCGGGAAGGCUGCCGGUCUACAGUUGUGCACUCGAUUCAAAUGAUUAUUCUCCGUUCUUUGCCUCAGAACUACAUAUGAGAGGUACAAAGGAUUGGCCAAUAUACUCAAUUAAGCUAUUCGAUUUGAGAUAAUGGAUGCAUUUUGAUGGAUCACAACAUGCUCUAUGGUGUUGUGGAUCACCUGGAUAUCUUCUGAUAUUCAUCUUUCCAUGCUGCAACAAGGAGGGUGUAUGAGCUUAGAGAGUUCUUAGUGUCCUUUCUCGUGACUGUUCAAAUAAGAAUCUGAUUAUUAGGCAUAGAAGUGAGAAAACUUCCACGAUGAAGUGACUGCUUGCUUCACAUGCACAUGGCUUGCCUGAUAUAAUCACGACCUUCGCGUGUGAUCUGGAGUGGCCUGAGAUAGUUCAGGGUCUUGAACAUGGGCAAAAAGCAGUCGACAGGACUGAUAUUACCGUACGAGUGCAUCAGAUGAAGCUUCUUGAUUACCUGCAGAAAAUCAGCACCGGGCAGGUGUUCGGGACUGUCGUUGCUGAACUUUCUGUUCUCCAGUUGUCCACACUGUGGAGUUCCAAAAGAGGGGUCUGCCCCAUGCACGUAUCCUUGUUUGGCAGCAGAAGAACAGUGCCCAGGGAUCUAAACUGACUGAUGUUGACGAUGGUACUGCUGCCACUGCACUUGCUAAGACCAUGGAAACUGCACUUGCUCAGCCACCCAGACUUAAAAUGGGUGCUGCUGCUACUACAAAGACCGGUUCAUAAAAAAAAUAGUAGUUGAUCCAUGCUUGGGGAUAAGCAUGAGUGUGUGGUACGUCUAUUCCAACGACCUAUAGUUCUUAAACAGAUUUGUUCAGGCCUUUCUUUUGGUUAUUUUCCACUUACCAUGGUUUACAUUGUGUUGUCUUUUAUAUGAUAUAUAUGGGAGUUGCUAUCUCGCGCGCGCUCGUUACGACGCUCGGUUUCCGACAAAGUAAAAUUUCCAGUUUAGGCAAUCAGCGUGAGAUUGAAAUG